UUGAGGAAGUAAAAGUCGUAACAAGGUCUCCGUUGGUGAACCAGCGGAGGGAUCAUUACAGAGUUAUACAACUCCCAUACCAUCUGUUAACCUACCCAGUUAUGCCUCGGCGUAAGCUCGGUUGGAGGCACCUGCAGCUACCCUGUAGUUGCGGACUGCCAACUCCAGCCGCGGCCCGCCGGCGGUACACUAAACUCUGUUUUAUUUUAUAUUCUGAGCGUCUUAUUUUAAUAAGUUAAAACUUUCAACAACGGAUCUCUUGGUUCUGGCAUCGAUGAAGAACGCAGCGAAAUGCGAUAAGUAAUGUGAAUUGCAGAAUUCAGUGAAUCAUCGAAUCUUUGAACGCACAUUGCGCCCAUCAGUAUUCUGGUGGGCAUGCCUGUUCGAGCGUCAUUUCAACCCUUAAGCCUAGCUUAGUGUUGGGAAUCUGCUGUACUGCAGUUCCUUAAAGACAGUGGCGGAGCGGCGGUAGUCCUCUGAGCGUAGUAAUUUAUUUCUCGCUUUUGUCAGGCUCUGUCCUCCCGCCAUAAAACCCCCAGUUUUUUAGUGGUUGACCUCGGAUCAGGUAGGAAUACCCGCUGAACUUAAGCAUAUCAAUAAGCGGAGGAA
RNAcentral lists this ribosomal RNA (609 nucleotides) under Arthrinium sp. CCY2(1). Its description in RNAcentral is "eukaryotic LSU rRNA". The stretch from base 240 to 393 matches the Rfam family "5.8S ribosomal RNA". Lineage: Eukaryota; Fungi; Ascomycota; Sordariomycetes; Amphisphaeriales; Apiosporaceae. The record is from RNAcentral.